Molecule: ribosomal RNA, 945 nt
Filed under: Salmonella enterica subsp. enterica serovar Heidelberg
Lineage: Bacteria; Pseudomonadati; Pseudomonadota; Gammaproteobacteria; Enterobacterales; Enterobacteriaceae
Also listed under: 4 other names
Description: partial 23S ribosomal RNA
Rfam family: Bacterial large subunit ribosomal RNA
Source: RNAcentral
CUGUGUGUUGUUGGGUAGGGGAGCGUUCUGUAAGCCUGUGAAGGUGUGUCGUGAGGCAUGCUGGAGGUAUCAGAAGUGCGAAUGCUGACAUAAGUAACGAUAAAGCGGGUGAAAAGCCCGCUCGCCGGAAGACCAAGGGUUCCUGUCCAACGUUAAUCGGGGCAGGGUGAGUCGACCCCUAAGGCGAGGCCGAAAGGCGUAGUCGAUGGGAAACGGGUUAAUAUUCCCGUACUUGGUGUUACUGCGAAGGGGGGACGGAGAAGGCUAUGUUGGCCGGGCGACGGUUGUCCCGGUUUAAGCGUGUAGGUGUGUGUUCCAGGUAAAUCCGGUUCACUUUAACACUGAGGCGUGACGACGAGGCACUACGGUGCUGAAGCAACAAAUGCCCUGCUUCCAGGAAAAGCCUCUAAGCAUCAGGUAACAUCAAAUCGUACCCCAAACCGACACAGGUGGUCAGGUAGAGAAUACCAAGGCGCUUGAGAGAACUCGGGUGAAGGAACUAGGCAAAAUGGUGCCGUAACUUCGGGAGAAGGCACGCUGACACGUAGGUGAAGUGAUUUACUCAUGGAGCUGAAGUCAGUCGAAGAUACCAGCUGGCUGCAACUGUUUAUUAAAAACACAGCACUGUGCAAACACGAAAGUGGACGUAUACGGUGUGACGCCUGCCCGGUGCCGGAAGGUUAAUUGAUGGGGUCAGCGCAAGCGAAGCUCCUGAUCGAAGCCCCGGUAAACGGCGGCCGUAACUAUAACGGUCCUAAGGUAGCGAAAUUCCUUGUCGGGUAAGUUCCGACCUGCACGAAUGGCGUAAUGAUGGCCAGGCUGUCUCCACCCGAGACUCAGUGAAAUUGAACUCGCUGUGAAGAUGCAGUGUACCCGCGGCAAGACGGAAAGACCCCGUGAACCUUUACUAUAGCUUGACACUGAACAUUGAGCCUUGAUGUGUAG